AUUUAGGUGGGACCUAAAUUCAAUGACAAAUGUCCUUAUAAGAGACAGGAGAUGAGAGGGUUACCAGGGAAAAGGCCACAGGAAGACAGAGCAAAGAUUUAAGUGACGCAGUUACAACCCCAGGAACACCCGGAGCCACCAGAAGCUGAACCAAACAUGGAAGGAUCCUACUGACAACUAGAUUUUGGACGUCUGGCCUCCAGAACUAUUAUAUAACAGAAAAAAAUUCUGUUGUUUUAAGCCACUAAAUUUGUGGUGAUUUAUUAUGGCAGCCACAGGAAACUAGGACAGGAGAACCUAAAAUGAGAUGGUUCUGAAGGCAAGGGAGGCCCCAGGAGCAAGGGAGCAGGUGCAGGCAGGACAGCGAGGACCUUGCCCCUUUUCUUUACUGCUCAUCCCCUGUCUGACCACAGAUGACCAUCUGUGAGUCACGAGUUGUUAACAAGAGAGCUGCUUAUUUGCUCCCAGGGGCAUCCAUAGAUGGCCACAGUCUGCGGAAGGGAAGCCGAGUUCAGAAGCUUGUUCUUAAGUAGUUGGAAGCCCUCCCUAGGGGAGUAGAUGUUCAGAAGAAGAUAUGCAGACUCAGGUCACAUGAAAUGAAUAAGCCAUUUCUUUCACAUAGGAAAACAGAAAUCAGGUUUGAUUUGGUAUAUUCAGGAAAAACUCUAGUUCUUUCAAGGCAGCAACUGACACAACUUUUGGAAAAACAAGAGCUGAUUUCUGAGCAAUCUAGGCCAGCCCUGGCAAGGCUGACCUAUGAGAACUCCAACUGAGCACUGUGAGCUGAGAGCCUUCUGCAGCCCAUGGGCGCCAGGCAGCUGCUUUUCCUACAUUGCUUCUCCCACCCACCCUGAGAGGUGGCUUGCCAUUAGACUUGCAGUGCCUAAUUAAGGCCUUCAGGAGCAGAGAUGGAAUGUACUAGACUGUGAGUUCAGGUUUUUCUGACUCUAGAGCCUGUGCUGGAGAGAACUGUAACCUAACAGGCUAUAUAGUCCAGAGGGGGACACGUGGACUCUGACAUCACAACUUUCUGUGAACCAUGCCCUCUACAGACGUGCUCUGCUAUGAAUGAAGCCUUUCUUCUCUACCCAUGAAUUCUACAGCAUUGUGAACAUACCUCUAUUAUAACAUGACUGAAUAAUGUCUCAUUUUUUACGUGAACUGAUUUUUUUAUAAGAUUAUGAACUUCUUGAAUGGAAGAACCAUGUCUCAUUGUUCCCUAUACCUUCACUGCCUAGCCCAGUGCCUGAGAGACAGCGACUUUCCACCAAGAACACCAUUGUGUAGAGGCACCUACUGUGCCAGGCACUGUUGGAGGCACUGGGGAUGAAUCAGCAAGCAAGACAGAAGGUCCCUGCACUCACAUAACUUACUGCUCAGGAAUCGCCACUGGACUCAGCCUGCACAGCACAGCAAGACCCUGGCUCUUAAGAAAAAAAAAGAAUGAUGGGGAUGCAUCCCAGGACAAACAGCAGUUUUGGAGGUGGGCCCUGGGCAUGGGUUUUUGUGCACAGCUCCCUCAGCAAUGCUGAUGGGGAUCCAGGGCUGAGACCCACAGAACUGGGGGAUGAACUUCAACCUCACAUUCACCACCUUCCAAACCACCCUCAGGGAAGACUCACCCGAUGUCUGGUGAGCAUGUUUCCCUUCAGACACUGAUAGCGAACCAUGAGGAAGAGGGCAGCCCAGGUCAGCACAAGGGAGAGGAGGAAGGCAAUGAAGAACCCUGCUGCGUGGAGGCCGUGGUGCGGCAGAACCUGUGGAGACAAGAGGAGAGCAGGAUUCAUGUGUGGUCAGACAGCAUGUCUCCCAGGCCUCACAGAUGAUUGAGUGUCAGAGCAGACCAAGCAGGGACCAGGGGACUCGCUUGCAUUUGAGUCUCGCUCUGCCAGCUACCAGCUGGCUGCCUGGAGGCCCUCGCUGGUCCUCUCUGAGCCUGAACUUCCUCAGUGCAUGACAAGCCUGUCAAAGACCUGAGGCAUGGUGAUUUGCACACAAUAGCACCAUCCAGCCGCACGCCUAGCACAUCACAGACACUCAAGAAUGUUAAGUUUCCAAAUCAAAAACAUGAUAAUCCAAAGGAAGCACUAGGGAUCCGUGACAUUUUCUGAGAAUCACAGGUAGAAUUUUGCAGAGGCCAGAGGAAGAACCCAUGGCACCCUCACCUUCCCGCUACCCUCUAUUAACUUUAGAUUAAAUAAUUAAACCCCAAUUUUUACGGUAUUAUAUUUAGAGAAAAUCUCUUGUCUUCUGACUGGUGAGAUUAGUGGGCCACAUUUACCCCCGCCCCUCCUUCCCUGCUUCUGCCUUCUAGCAUUUUUUAGGUUUAUAGCAUAUAUAUUUUGUUCUGCAACCAGAAUUCAAUCCUGAUUAUUGUUUAUAGGUUAAUCCCAGCAACUACAAAUUUUAAAAGACAAUAUUAUUAUGAUUAGGCAAAAUUUGCUCACUGCAGAGUAAAGUAAUUGGAUCCAAUCCUGUGACACUAAAUAUCUGCUCCUCAAAGGAGUGUGUUCCUAAUUCAGUCCCUUUUCUCACACUUUAUCAAUUAUUCCAAAUCAGGCUACAUUUUUAGUUUGCUUCAGUGUGAAUUAGCACUUCCUUGUGUGACUUUUUGUUUUUCCUGAAGUUUUUCAUGGCCUAUCUUUUUUCUUCCUAGCAUACACCCAUGUUCUUAAUAAUACUAUCUGUUACAGAGAGUCAAAUUUACUUUUUCUUAAAGUCAUCAUUCCCAGAGUUCUCUGACUUUCUGAUUUAAUCAGACCUGGCUACUUUCUAGGUUUUCUGGUAUCAUAGAGAGCUUUUUCUUUUUCUCCACUGCCUUCUAUAUUGUCACAGCAUUACUCAUUGAAGAAAAACUGUUUCUUGGAUCCCAUUUCUUCCUUUUUCUUGGAUAAUUCUUUUUUAUUUUGAUGAAGUAUCCUAAGUAUCUAUUUAUUCUCAAGUAAGUUCGUUUGGAGAAGAUGCUCUUUUCUCACAUCUGGCAAUGCUGUCACUUAGUUCUCAGUUUGACUGAUAGUAUGGCUGGCUACAUAAUUCAUGGCUAAAAUAACUUUCCCUCAAGAUGUUGAUGGUGCCAUUCUACUGUCUUCUGACAGAAGUGUGCCUGAUGGCCUUUUAGAAGAAUCUGUUUUUGUUUUCUGGGUGCUUUUUAAGAUUUCUCCCUUUUCCCUAUAGUUCUGAAUAUCUUAGCAUUUUAAAGAAGAUAUUUGAAUACAUUUCUAAUAAUAUAUAAAAAGUCUUAUAUAGUAAUGUAACUUUGCAAAGAAAUACACACAGUAUAAUCUCCAUUUCACGGGGUCACUGAUUGUACCAAGGGUCCCCAAGGCCACCUGCAUACAAUCCCACUCACAGGUAUGGUUUAUUACAGCAAAAAGACACAAAGCAAAGUCAGAAAAGGGAAGAAUGGAGUAAAGCCCAAGGAAAACCAGGCACAUGCUUCCAGACUCCAGCGGAGUCACAAAAGAUGUGCUUAAUUCCCCCAGAGAGGGGUUGUGACAACUCAUGUGAAAUGUAUUCUACUAGGGAAGCUCAUUAGGGACUCAGUGUCCAGGGUUUUUAUUCGAGGCUGAUCACAUAGGCACCCUGUGCCUGGCAUGUACCAAAAUUUCAUACUCCAAGAAAAACAGCAGGUAAUCAGCAUAAACUAUACUACAUGUAAAAAACAGUUCAGGCACAGGGAGCCACUCUUAGCAGUUUUAAGAAGAUGGGAAUCCUGAAAUCCAAGUUUCCAGACACCAGCCCAGGAUCAAUCUUGUAAGCAAGCUUUUCUAAGGAUAGCAGCCUUCGGUUUGAUAUGCUAACUCUUCUCUGCACAAUGGAAAGCAUAUUAUACCCCAAACUCUGCAUCAGCAUCUGUCUCCAGAAAAGCCAACCUGUGACAAUUAGUUUAAUUCAAAAUGGCUCCAGACCAUGGGAUACCGAAUGUAUUAUUUAGGAGCUAGAAGACAACUAGCCUAUUCCUCAUUCUUGCAGCCACAGUGCAGAUUGUAGUCAAGGUUACAUUUUUUCUGACAGACCAAUGAGGCCACCCUGACCUUCUAGACUGUCAAAGCUAAGUUAGGUCAAAAACAGGAGCUUCAGUUCAAAUGCUUAUUGAAACCUGAAUCAAAGUGUGAUGCCACUUAUAACUCAUCUUUGAUAAAUCAGCCUCUGUCCACAAAGGCUGUUAUCAGAGACUGUCAGAGAACCAAUUCUGUUUUCUUGCUCUAACAUCCUCUUGAUCCUAAAUCUUGAAUUUUGAUUAACACUAAAAUGAAAUCCAAGUACUCCAUUUGUUCUGGACAUGUCCCUCUGCUCCCUGAGCCCUGAGUGUGUACCUACUAGACAAGAAAAAAAUCGAUAAGCUGAAUAAACGUAAAUAGCAUUGCAUGGAGGUUAUGUCAAAAUAUUGAUGGAAAGGAAACUAAAAAAAAUCUGUCUGUAAAACAACACAGUAGCUAAAGAUCAGCAAUCUGUUUUCAAGAUUUUUAAUCCCCUUUAUCUUCAAAGAAGGCAACAACUUGUUUUUUCAUCUUCGAGAAGAGGGAAUGAGAGGUAAAGGGGAUUAACAAUUUUGAUCACCAACAAAACGCCAAUCUCUGGGCUAGGUAAAUGUAGUGAGUUGAGUUGAGUUGUGCCCUCCAAAAAGACAUGUUGAAGUCCUAACCCCAAUACCUAUGAAUGUGACUUUAUUUAGAAAUUGUCUUUGCAGAUGUAGACAAGUUAAGAUGAGGUCAUACUGGGUCACAGUGAGUCCUAAAUCCAAUGAUCGUGUCUUCAUGAGGAGAGGGAGAUUUGUAGACACACACAGAAAAGAUGGCCAUGUGAAGAUGGAGGCAGAUACUGAGUGAUGCAGCUAUAAGCCAAGGAUUUCAAGGAAUGCUAAGGAUUUCUGAGCCACCAGAAGCUAAGAAGAGGCAAAGGAAGAUGCUUCUCCAGGGUCUUUAUAAACAGCAUGGCCCUGCCUGCCUACACCUUAAUUUCAGACUUCCAGCCUGCAGAACUGUGAGAAAAUUAAAUUGUUGUAUUAAGGUACCAAGCUUGUGGAGAUUUGUUAUGGCAGCCUGAGGACACUAACACAAUGCUUCAUAUACUUUAUUUCAUUCAAUCUUCUGUAAUCCUGUGGAACACGUAUCAUCCCUGUUCUACUGAUAGACAAAUGGAGAUGCAAAGAGAUUAAAAAAUUAAUUGAUGUCCACAGCUAAAACAAAAUUAGCUCUGCUGGACUCCAAUGUCUACGUUUGUCCCACUAGAGCUGGACACUACUUACUGUCCAGGGGGCUGUAUGUUUUUCUAAAAUGUUUUUAGUCCUAAUCUCCCACACCAUGGUAGAAGUUAGUUGUAUGACUGACAUUACAUAUGGGCAGCAUCACUCUACCGUAAAAGCCAGGAAAAGAACUCUCUCGUAUGUUCCUUCUCCCCUUCUGUCUCCCUGCCUCCCUCCCUCCUGCUUCAUGAAGUGGAAGUGGACAGGUGAGUCAGGCUACCUCAAAUCUCUUCCUCUUUCCACUUCCACCUUCUAAAUCCACAUCUUGAGAUCUUACUUUCCUUUGGCCACAAGGGCAUUGCCAAGAGAAACUGAAGAGUAGAGGUACUGUGGGCAGUUUAGUGGAGCAGGGUCUAGAUCAAUGCUUAAAGUAGCAACACAGUUGUGGGAAUGGAAGCCUGGACCUAGGAAGAGGGAAAAACCAGGGCCAGUUCUGCAGAUCCCAUCACCUGUCACC
This 5702-nucleotide long non-coding RNA is filed under the name Homo sapiens (human). Its description in RNAcentral is "HSALNT0068560". Lineage: Eukaryota; Metazoa; Chordata; Mammalia; Primates; Hominidae. The record is from RNAcentral.